RNAcentral lists this ribosomal RNA (427 nucleotides) under uncultured bacterium. Its description in RNAcentral is "bacterial SSU rRNA". It matches the Rfam family "Bacterial small subunit ribosomal RNA", at positions 355 to 774 of the family's 1533-position model. The record is from RNAcentral.
UGGGGAAUUUUGGACAAUGGGGGCAACCCUGAUCCAGCCAUGCCGCGUGAGUGAAGAAGGCCUUCGGGUUGUAAAGCUCUUUCGGCCGGGAAGAAAUCGCACGGGCUAAUACCCUGUGUGGAUGACGGUACCGGAAUAAGAAGCACCGGCUAACUACGUGCCAGCAGCCGCGGUAAUACGUAGGGUGCAAGCGUUAAUCGGAAUUACUGGGCGUAAAGCGUGCGCAGGCGGUUAUGCAAGACAGAUGUGAAAUCCCCGGGCUCAACCUGGGAACUGCGAUUGUGACUGCAAGGCUAGAGUGUGUCAGAGGGGGGUGGAAUUCCACGUGUAGCAGUGAAAUGCGUAGAGAUGUGGAGGAACACCGAUGGCGAAGGCAGUCCCCUGGGAUAACACUGACGCUCAUGCACGAAAGCGUGGGGAGCAAACA